This 41-nucleotide small nucleolar RNA is filed under the name Cebus imitator (Panamanian white-faced capuchin). The record is from RNAcentral. Lineage: Eukaryota; Metazoa; Chordata; Mammalia; Primates; Cebidae.
CCAUAAGAGUCUGGCUCAAUGAAUGGGGAUUGACAGUAGUU